Molecule: long non-coding RNA, 216 nt
Organism: Myxocyprinus asiaticus (Chinese sucker)
Lineage: Eukaryota; Metazoa; Chordata; Actinopteri; Cypriniformes; Catostomidae
Exons: 3
Source: RefSeq, a predicted model, not a curated record
AAAAAUCAAAUCACUGGAACAUUUUCAAUUAACACUGAAAAUAAAUGAAAUAAUUUUCUCUUUUGUCUAUUUCAGGCCCGGUGGCGGCUGCCAACGAUGUGACAGAAGAACCAUCACCAGAUGAUGAGAAACGAAGGAACUAUGGAGGGGUGUAUGUGGGGCUUCCUGCUGAUCUGACCACAGUAGCUGCUAGCCAAUCAAAAUCAACACGAAAAG